AUUGAACGCUGGCGGCAGGCCUAACACAUGCAAGUCGAACGGUAACAGGAAGAAGCUUGCUUCUUUGCUGACGAGUGGCGGACGGGUGAGUAAUGUCUGGGAAACUGCCUGAUGGAGGGGGAUAACUACUGGAAACGGUAGCUAAUACCGCAUAACGUCGCAAGACCAAAAAGGGGGACCUUCGGGCCUCUUGCCAUCGGAUGUGCCCAGAUGGGAUUAGCUAGUAGGUGGGGUAACGGCUCACCUAGGCGACGAUCCCUAGCUGGUCUGAUAGGAUGACCAGCCACACUGGAACUGAGACACGGUCCAGACUCCUACGGGAGGCAGCAGUGGGGAAUAUUGCACAAUGGGCGCAAGCCUGAUGCAGCCAUGCCGCGUGUAUGAAGAAGGCCUUCGGGUUGUAAAGUACUUUCAGCGGGGAGGAAGGGAGUAAAGUUAAUACCUUUGCUCAUUGACGUUACCCGCAGAAGAAGCACCGGCUAACUCCGUG
Molecule: ribosomal RNA, 490 nt
Filed under: uncultured bacterium
Lineage: Bacteria
Description: partial 16S ribosomal RNA
Rfam family: Bacterial small subunit ribosomal RNA
Source: RNAcentral